UACGUAGGGUGCGAGCGUUAAUCGGAAUUACUGGGCGUAAAGCGUGCGCAGGCGGUUUUGUAAGUCAGAUGUGAAAUCCCCCGGGCUCAACCUGGGAACUGCGUUUGAAACUACAAGGCUAGAGUGUAGCAGAGGGGGGUAGAAUCCACGUGUAGCAGUGAAAUGCGUAGAGAUGUGGAGGAAUACCAAUGGCGAAGGCAGCCCC
RNAcentral lists this ribosomal RNA (205 nucleotides) under uncultured bacterium. RNAcentral describes it as "partial 16S ribosomal RNA". It matches the Rfam family "Bacterial small subunit ribosomal RNA", at positions 524 to 728 of the family's 1533-position model. The record is from RNAcentral.